Molecule: ribosomal RNA, 456 nt
Filed under: uncultured bacterium
Lineage: Bacteria
Description: bacterial SSU rRNA
Rfam family: Bacterial small subunit ribosomal RNA
Source: RNAcentral
GACGAACGCUGGCGGCGUGCUUAAAACAUGCAAGUCGCACGAGGAGUCUUCGGACUCCGAGUGGCAAACGGGUGCGUAACACGUGAACAACCUGCCGUGCCGUGGGGGAUACCCGCCCGAAAGGGUGGUUAAUCCCGCAUAGCGCGCGCCUCCUGCCUGGGGGGCGCGGGAAAGCCGCAAGGCGCAGCACGAGGGGUUCGCGGCCUAUCAGCUAGUUGGUGCGGUAACGGCGCACCAAGGCGACGACGGGUAGCCGACCUGAGAGGGUGACCGGCCACAUUGGGACUGAGACACGGCCCAGACUCCUACGGGGGGCAGCAGUUGGGAAUCUUGCGCAAUGGGCGAAAGCCUGACGCAGCGACGCCGCGUGCGGGAUGACGGUCUUCGGAUUGUAAACCGCUUUUCUCGAGGACGAUAAUGACGGUACUCGAGGAAUCAGCCCCGGCUAACUCCGUG